GAUGAACGCUAGCGGGAGGCCUAACACAUGCAAGCCGAGCGGUUUUUGUUCUUCGGCCCAGAGAGAGCGGCGCACGGGUGCGGAACACGUGUGCAACCUGCCUUUAUCUGGGGGAUAGCCUUUCGAAAGGAAGAUUAAUACCCCAUAAUAUAUUGAGUGGCAUCACUUGAUAUUGAAAACUCCGGUGGAUAGAGAUGGGCACGCGCAAGAUUAGAUAGUUGGUGAGGUAACGGCUCACCAAGUCAAUGAUCUUUAGGGGGCCUGAGAGGGUGAUCCCCCACACUGGUACUGAGACACGGACCAGACUCCUACGGGAGGCAGCAGUGAGGAAUAUUGGACAAUGGGUUAGCGCCUGAUCCAGCCAUCCCGCGUGAAGGACGACGGCCCUAUGGGUUGUAAACUUCUUUUGUAUAGGGAUAAACCUACUCUCGUGAGAGUAGCUGAAGGUACUAUACGAAUAAGCACCGGCUAACUCCGUG
Molecule: ribosomal RNA, 479 nt
Filed under: uncultured bacterium
Lineage: Bacteria
Description: partial 16S ribosomal RNA
Rfam family: Bacterial small subunit ribosomal RNA
Source: RNAcentral